Molecule: long non-coding RNA, 1869 nt
Filed under: Carica papaya (papaya)
Lineage: Eukaryota; Viridiplantae; Streptophyta; Magnoliopsida; Brassicales; Caricaceae
Description: long non-coding RNA (CPAP_LNC008994)
Source: RNAcentral
AGUUAAUUUUAUUUAUUGUUUGUAUUAAAUUAAAAUCUUGCAUAUAUAUAUGUUUUAAAUCAAACAUAAAUAAGGGUAGCUCGCAGGAACAAGGAAAUUCUCCACCCGCAAGGCUAUUAACCUGCAGACAUGCACGGGUUUCACUUGCUAAGACCGCAAGCUUGGCAGCCUACAGGCACGCAAUGGCCUAUGCGUGUCAGCCGCACAUGGCUUCAUAGGUCCGUAUGAGGGAACACCGGGUGUUUUGCCCACAAGCUGCAAAACACUAUCCAUUUACUAGGGGAAAGCUUUCCCGCAAAUAGUUGGUUCGCUUGCGCAUUUCUGGCUUAGAUUUUUGAUUUGACACCACUAACCCAACCUUUAAUGGCAUUUUGGUGGCCUAGCAAAAAAACCUAGCUACCUAGGCGAUUGUCGAGCUCUAACCUUCUUCCUUUGUUGGCUACAGCCAUUUAUGGGCAGCAAUGGCCCCAAUGGAAUGCAUGUAAUCCAAUGAUGGCCUUUUGAUCUCUAAAUCCUUUUUAAACCUUCCACUUUCAAUCAUCUUCUUUCCCAUUUUGGGCUGAGCAAUUUUGAGUACAAAUUGAGAGAAACAGAGGGUGCUAAUGAGGAAAGAGAAGUUUGCAGUGUGCAAAGAAUAAACCUAUAUCGAGGGGGAGGCAUGGUACAUGUGUUUGAAAAAUUCUACUGCUGUUCAGAUUUAGGUGAGUCCCUUUCCUUCAUAACUUGUUUCCCUAUGAUCUUUUAGCAUCUAAGCAAUAAUUUCUUGAAUAAUUUACCUAUGCAAAUGCUUAUCUACCAAUUUAUAAAUGUUAUAACAGAUUAUUCCUCAUCUUACCUUAAAGAAGAUCUCAAUUUAGACUCAAAAGCACAAAGAAAAAAGGAGUUUGUGAUUAAGAAUCAAUUUUGCACCUCACCAUGAAACUGUUGCAAAACUCAUGAAGCAUUUUGAGGUAGAUUCAAUUUAAGAGUGAUUUAGCUUUCAAAAAUGAAUUUCUAAUAUUCCUAACCUAUUCUAACCACUAACUACCUAAGAUUGUGAAAAAGAAGUGAAAUGGACAAUCUUUAGUAGAAAAUAGAGGUCCUACUUGCACAGUUCGCGAUGGUAGGUGCAACAGCAAAAAAGCUUUAGGUUUCAAGCUUGCUGUAGUUUCUAGGGUUAAGGAACUGUAAAAUGGAUGCUUAGAUGCUAAAGGAUAGAAAAAAACAAGUUGUAAGGGAAAUGGACUUACCUAAAUUGGAACAGAAGUAGAAUUUCUCGAAUAUACGCCCCAGACAUCCCCCUCGGUACAGGUUUUUUCUUUGCACUCUACAUACUUGUCUUCCCUCACCAAACACCCUAUGUUUCUCUCAAUUUGCACUCAAAAUUGCCCAGCACAAAAUGGGGAAAAAGAUGACCCAAAGAGGAACAUUUAAAGGGGAUUUAGAGAUUAAAAGGCCAUUCUUGGAUUACAUGCAUUCCAUUAGGGUCGUUGCUACCCAGAAAUGGCCGAUAGCUAGCAGAGGAAAACGGUUGGAGCUCGAUAGCUAUCCAACUAACUAGGAUUCUUAUGCCAAAUGGCCAAAAUGCCAUUAAAGAGUAGGUUAAUGGUGUCAAAUCGAAAACCCAAAUUUAGAGUUUUUUUGCAGAUCAACUACUCAUAGGAAAGUUGUCUGCAGGGAAGCGAACAAAGUCUCGUGACUAGUGGGCAAAGUGACCGUUGUUCCCUCGUACAGAUGUGUCAACCCAUGUGUAGCUGUCACACACACGCCAUCGCAUAUCUGUGGGCUGCCAAGCUUACGAACUUGGCAGGUAAAAUUUGUGCAUGUCUGCAGGUUAGUAUACCCACAAGUUUAUGGCUUCAUGGUGGGGAAUUUCCUUGCUCCUGUGGG